ACUCCUACGGGAGGCAGCAGUGGGGAAUAUUGCACAAUGGGGGAAACCCUGAUGCAGCAACGCCGCGUGAGUGAAGAAGGUUUUCGGAUUGUAAAGCUCUGUUAGCAGGGAAGAGGAAGGACGGUACCUGCAGAGGAAGCCACGGCUAACUACGUGCCAGCAGCCGCGGUAAUACGUAGGUGGCAAGCGUUGUUCGGAAUAACUGGGCGUAAAGGAUGCGUAGGCGGUUGAGUAAGUUAUGUGUUAAAUAUAUAGGCUUAACCUGUAGAAAGCACAUAAAACUGUUUAACUAGAGUGCAGGAGAGGUAAGUGGAACUCCUAGUGUAGCGGUGAAAUGCGUAGAGAUUAGGAAGAACACCAGUGGCGAAGGCGACUUACUGGACUGUAACUGACGCUGAGGCAUGAGAGCAUGGGGAGCAAACAGGAUUAGAUACCCUGGUAGUCCAUGCUGUAAACGAUGGGUACUAGGUGUGGGUUGUGAAUAACAAUCCGUGCCGUCGCAAACGCAAUAA
Molecule: ribosomal RNA, 512 nt
Filed under: uncultured bacterium
Lineage: Bacteria
Description: bacterial SSU rRNA
Rfam family: Bacterial small subunit ribosomal RNA
Source: RNAcentral